GACGAACGCUGGCGGCGUGCUUAACACAUGCAAGUCGAACGGAAAGGCCCUGCUUUUGUGGGGUGCUCGAGUGGCGAACGGGUGAGUAACACGUGAGUAACCUGCCCUUGACUUUGGGAUAACUUCAGGAAACUGGGGCUAAUACCGGAUAGGAGCUCCUGCUGCAUGGUGGGGGUUGGAAAGUUUCGGCGGUUGGGGAUGGACUCGCGGCUUAUCAGCUUGUUGGUGGGGUAGUGGCUUACCAAGGCUUUGACGGGUAGCCGGCCUGAGAGGGUGACCGGCCACAUUGGGACUGGGAUACGGCCCAGACUCAUACGGGAGGCAGCAGUGGGGAAUAUUGCACAAUGGGCGGAAGCCUGAUGCAGCAACGCCGCGUGCGGGAUGACGGCCUUCGGGUUGUAAACCGCUUUCGCCUGUGACGAAGCGUGAGUGACGGUAAUGGGUAAAGAAGCACCGGCUAACUACGU
This 467-nucleotide ribosomal RNA is filed under the name uncultured bacterium. RNAcentral describes it as "partial 16S ribosomal RNA". It matches the Rfam family "Bacterial small subunit ribosomal RNA", at positions 28 to 506 of the family's 1533-position model. The record is from RNAcentral.